This 900-nucleotide ribosomal RNA is filed under the name Pantoea agglomerans. RNAcentral's name for it is "bacterial SSU rRNA". It matches the Rfam family "Bacterial small subunit ribosomal RNA", at positions 93 to 989 of the family's 1533-position model. Lineage: Bacteria; Pseudomonadati; Pseudomonadota; Gammaproteobacteria; Enterobacterales; Erwiniaceae. The record is from RNAcentral.
GAGUGGCGGACGGGUGAGUAAUGUCUGGGGAUCUGCCCGAUAGAGGGGGAUAACCACUGGAAACGGUGGCUAAUACCGCAUAACGUCGCAAGACCAAAGAGGGGGACCUUCGGGCCUCUCACUAUCGGAUGAACCCAGAUGGGAUUAGCUAGUAGGCGGGGUAAUGGCCCACCUAGGCGACGAUCCCUAGCUGGUCUGAGAGGAUGACCAGCCACACUGGAACUGAGACACGGUCCAGACUCCUACGGGAGGCAGCAGUGGGGAAUAUUGCACAAUGGGCGCAAGCCUGAUGCACCCAUGCCGCGUGUAUGAAAAAAGCCUUCGGGUUGUAAAGUACUUUCAGCGGGGAGGAAGGCGAUGGGGUUAAUAACCCCGUCGAUUGACGUUACCCGCAGAAAAAACACCGGCUAACUCCGUGCCACCACCCGCGGUAAUACGGAGGGUGCAAGCGUUAAUCGGAAUUACUGGGCGUAAAGCGCACGCAGGCGGUCUGUUAAGUCAGAUGUGAAAUCCCCGGGCUUAACCUGGGAACUGCAUUUGAAACUGGCAGGCUUGAGUCUUGUAGAGGGGGGUAGAAUUCCAGGUGUAGCGGUGAAAUGCGUAGAGAUCUGGAGGAAUACCGGUGGCGAAGGCGGCCCCCUGGACAAAGACUGACGCUCAGGUGCGAAAGCGUGGGGAGCAAACAGGAUUAGAUACCCUGGUAGUCCACGCCGUAAACGAUGUCGACUUGGAGGUUGUUCCCUUGAGGAGUGGCUUCCGGAGCUAACGCGUUAAGUCGACCGCCUGGGGAGUACGGCCGCAAGGUUAAAACUCAAAUGAAUUGACGGGGGCCCGCACAAGCGGUGGAGCAUGUGGUUUAAUUCGAUGCAACGCGAAGAACCUUACCUACUCUUGACAUCC